UCUUCGGUGGCAAAGAUAGCACCCUUCCUGAUAAACGCCAAGUUCAGCACCUCCAAGUAACUGCACGAGCAUAUGCAUUUGCCCUUAAAAAUUAGCAGAGGAUGCCACGGAGGCACAAUUUACCAACUGGGUGCAACAGACACCGGGCUGGCUCCUGAACUUCUCUCCUCCAAUUAAGCUACACAACCUGUUACCAUUUUGCCAAUGGACUCUAUUUACUUAGGUUCUGCUUAACUUGCCAAGUGCUCACUCUGUGGAAUUCCCAGCAAAGAGAAAGGAACAAUUGGGGGAAAUUUUUGUUAACAUCCUUUCUUUUAACUUUCCCUAGCAGAGGGGAAUGCAUCAAUGUGGAGCAGAUGUGCUGAGACCAAAUGCUCUCUUCCUCAUGAUUACAGUUGGUUAUACCUGUGGAUA
Molecule: long non-coding RNA, 414 nt
Organism: Lontra canadensis (Northern American river otter)
Lineage: Eukaryota; Metazoa; Chordata; Mammalia; Carnivora; Mustelidae
Exons: 2
Source: RefSeq, a predicted model, not a curated record